Molecule: long non-coding RNA, 3312 nt
Organism: Trachemys scripta elegans
Lineage: Eukaryota; Metazoa; Chordata; Testudines; Emydidae
Exons: 4
Source: RefSeq, a predicted model, not a curated record
UCUUUCUAACAGCCCUUGACUAGCAUGUGGUGUGUGUGAUGGAGGCUUUACAGAGCAGGAAGCUACUUCACUGCCUCACCCUGUUUGCUUUUCUUUUUCAUUAGCCUUCUCCCUAGGGCAAAGCAUAGAGGUACUCGAUAAAGACAGAAAAUCGCUUGUUUCAUAGUAAAUCUGCAAAUAUGUGACCAAAAAUCCUCCUUAUUUAGAAUAAUAUGGAAACUGACCCUUGAAAUUAAAAUGAAGACACUGGGUUUGAUUGUUAAUUAUUCCUGCCCCCAGUAAUAAAACUUUCAGGGAAGCUCCAUAUUAAUCAAUUGUUUAUAAAGGACACAUUUGGGAGUUAGGCAGGGGAUAGGCAUCUGGAAACCUAGAGGGAGGCAGCAGAGCACAUGCAUGGAGGCAAAGACUUAGGCACGUAGGGAAUUUGUGCUGCAGAAACUUAGGCACUAAGCAGCCAAGUGAGCCAAGGCACCUACAGGGUUGGGCAGCAGCCAAGCAGCAGUUUCGUAGGUCUCAGCAGUGCCUAAAAAUGGGACUCAGGCACCGAAGUACCUUUGUGAAUACCACCCCCUGUCCCUAUCCUAGGAGGCCAACAAGUACCGUUCUCCCCCUUCUAACAGAGGCGGUAACUGAGGACCAGAGACACUGCUCAAGCUCACUUCUAGCAGAGUUAGGAAGAGAAGGUCAGUCUCUCCUGAGGCAGACUCAAGUCACUCCCGCUUAGCCAUUGCCUUUUGGAAUGACUGUGCCAAAUCUAUGUGCUUAGCGAUGCUGUCUGUGCAAUGGAGCUACCCCUGCCCAGCCAGGUGAACGAGGCAAGAGGCUGCAGGAAGAGCCGAGCAUUGGGCAAGUCUCGUGAAAGCAGAAUGUUCAGAGGCUUAGGGCGCUGUGCCAGGGAUCGCAUAUGUGGGGCAGCCCCUGAACCUCUGCUGUAGAGGGUCCAGGGAGCAGAGGGGCCAGGGAGCCAUAAGAAAAUGGGUGGUUGUGUUUGUUCUUUAUGUUUUAAAGCAGCAAAAAAUAUUUGUAACUUUGGUGAACCCUCCUUUCCAGGGUGUUAUAAUUCAGCAACCACUUGUCCAAUUCACAUCAAAUUUGAUAGAAAUAGUUUACUUCAGCCCCAGAUUUAAGGUUCCAAUUUUGAGGCUGAUAGGAUCUUCCUGUAGUUUAUAGAUGUAGGGUCAAAAAUCAGGGUUAUAAAGGAAACUAUUAGAGUCUUAAACUAUGGAGUGACUAUCAUCACUCCAUCAUACUGGGAUGAAGCAGCCUCUUCCACAGUGGGAAUAACUCUGCUCCAACCGGGAUGUGUGUGAGGCUAAGCCGUCUGGGUCUGAGAGGAUAAGCACAUUGCUGUAUGCAGAUUUCCAUAAGGACUCUUUAAUUUCAUAGCACCAUCUAAACGAUAAUGGUGACUUUCUGCUUUACAAUUUCACUUGCAUCUUCAGCCUUGCUACAUGCAGGAGAAAAGAGUAAAUUCUGCUGCUGUUUAAAAAACAUCACCAUAAAAGUGCACAAGGACAGAUGAUCCUGAACUGAUUCUCUUUUCCUAAAUUAUUUUCGCUUUAUACUAUAACUUGAAUUCUUUCAUUGCCAGGCACCUCCCGGACUAAGGGUCCAUUUCACUGACUGUGAGAAGCUGGAAAUGUCCCAGUGAUCCUGUAACUGCUGGGAAGUUUCUCCUGGGCUCAUGAGUUACAAUGAAGAUGAGGAUUUCCUUCCACUCGCAUUGUGCCAUGGGCAACCCCUCUCUGUCCAGUUACCUCCUUUUCUUUUUUACGGUCCAUGUUUCUACAUUGGAAUCAGUGAAUUUCAAGGUGAUUGGACCUGAUCAUCCCAUCAUGGUCUCUGCAGGUGAAGAUGCCCUGUUACCCUGUCACCUCUUCCGUAACACAAGUGCUCAGAAGAUGGAGGUGCGCUGGUACCGAUCCAAGUUCUCUGAACCUGUCCAUCUGUAUCAGAAUGAAAAAGAUCAGGCUGAGCAGCAAAUACCAAAUGAUCAGGGCAGAACAGAGCUGCUGAAGGAUGGUAUUGUGGAUGGAAGCGUUGUCCUGCGUAUACACAACAUCACCCCCUCUGACCAUGGGCAGUUUAUCUGUUUCUUCCGAUCAAGCAGAUUUUAUGCGGAAGCCACUCUGGAACUGAAGGUGACAGGGCUACACGCCAUGCCACAACACAAAAGUCACCUGCUGAAUUAUUACACGGUAGAGAGAUGCAUACUAAAUUAAACAUUGCUGGAUUACAUGGGCCUAUAUCUGAUAUAUCAUUGCUGCCGGAUAUCAGACAAACAGUUCAAUGAAAACCACAAAAAUAUAAGAUGCAGAUAAAUGCUGUGGGGUCAGGGAACUGAAAUUCAAAUGUGGCUUGUUUAUAGAAGUAUGAAAACCUGGAAUGUUAGGAAAAGGAGAACCCAGGUUCACUUCCCCACUGAAAAUUGUUUCUAAAAAGGACUAUGACACUCUGUACUUCAGAGUAGCACUCUGGAACUCCCAUAUUCAUCACUGUCAUAGAAUUAUGAUAUGUUUUGUACAAAGUUUGCCUUGAGAGGUAUCAUUUUAAAAGUCUUGAUCUGUUGAACAUUAAUAUCCUGUUGGAUUGUAUGUGCUAUCAUGGUAUAGGAAGUUAUGAAGUUUUGCUAUGUAUGUGUUACUGAAAUAUGUUGUGAGGUUGGGAACACCCACAACCAACCUUUCAGGUGCAACAAUGGAGGAGGCAGACAGGGGUUAAUGGCUCAUCAACACCCAUCAAGGAAAGGAUCUCAGAAACUGUAUACAAUGGAAACUUCUCAGAGAGAACACGUAGACAAUGGAGACUGCUUGACCAAUGGAGACUACCUGAUCCCCACACCACAGCAAAGGAUUUUUCCAACAAGCUGGAAGAAACUAUAAAAGAGGGGAAGUGACAUCAUCACUUGGCCUCACUCCCCCGCACAACUCAACACCUGGAAACAUGUUUGGAGGAUAAAGACUUUGUAUGUGGGAGGGCGGUUUCAGGCUGGAAAAGAGUCCCAGUCUGUGUAUUAAGGAACUAUACUAUCCUGUUUAGUUUAUAGAACUCAGAUUGUGAAUUUACUUUUAUUUCUUAGGUAACCAACUUUGAUCUCUACAUUCGCUACCUAUAAUCACUUAAAAUCUAUCUUUCUGUAGUUUAUAUUUUACCUAAAACAGUGUGGUUUGGUUGAAGUGCUUGGGAAAUCUCAGCUCAGUUUACAUCGAAGCAGGGGCAGUCUGGGUAAUGAACUUGUUCUGGUUAGGCUUCUGACCAGGGCAAGAUGGUACAGCUCUGUGGUGCAAUGCUGGGGAGCUGGGGGGGAAUUGG